GCUCCCUUAGGUCAGCGGCGGACGGGUGAGUAACACGUGGGUAACCUGCCUGUAAGACUGGGAUAACUCCGGGAAACCGGGGCUAAUACCGGAUGCUUGAUUGAACCGCAUGGUUCAAUCAUAAAAGGUGGCUUUUAGCUACCACUUACAGAUGGACCCGCGGCGCAUUAGCUAGUUGGUGAGGUAACGGCUCACCAAGGCGACGAUGCGUAGCCGACCUGAGAGGGUGAUCGGCCACACUGGGACUGAGACACGGCCCAGACUCCUACGGGAGGCAGCAGUAGGGAAUCUUCCGCAAUGGACGAAAGUCUGACGGARCAACGCCGCGUGAGUGAUGAAGGUUUUCGGAUCGUAAAACUCUGUUGUUAGGGAAGAACAAGUACCGUUCGAAUAGGGCGGCACCUUGACGGUACCUAACCAGAAAGCCACGGCUAACUACGUGCCAGCAGCCGCGGUAAUACGUAGGUGGCAAGCGUUGUCCGGAAUUAUUGGGCGUAAAGCGCGCGCAGGCGGUUUCUUAAGUCUGAUGUGAAAGCCCCCGGCUCAACCGGGGAGGGUCAUUGGAAACUGGGGAACUUGAGUGCAGAAGAGGAGAGUGGAAUUCCACGUGUAGCGGUGAAAUGCGUAGAGAUGUGGAGGAACACCAGUGGCG
Molecule: ribosomal RNA, 652 nt
Filed under: Bacillus licheniformis
Lineage: Bacteria; Bacillati; Bacillota; Bacilli; Caryophanales; Bacillaceae
Description: bacterial SSU rRNA
Rfam family: Bacterial small subunit ribosomal RNA
Source: RNAcentral